This 250-nucleotide ribosomal RNA is filed under the name uncultured bacterium. Its description in RNAcentral is "partial 16S ribosomal RNA". It matches the Rfam family "Bacterial small subunit ribosomal RNA", at positions 1256 to 1500 of the family's 1533-position model. The record is from RNAcentral.
UGCGAAGGCAAGCGGAUCUCUUUAAAGCUGUUCUCAGUUCGGACUGCAGUCUGCAACUCGACUACACGAAGCUGGAAUCGCUGGUAGUCGCGGAUCAGCACGCCGCGGUGAAUACGUUCCCGGGCCUUGUACACACCGCCCGUCACACCAUGGAAGUCUGCAAUGCCCGAAGCCGGUGGCCUAACCACUUAUGUGGAAGGAGCCGUCUAAGGCAGGGCAGAUGACUGGGGUGAAGUCGUAACAAGGUAAC